Non-coding RNA from Rhodocollybia butyracea, 97 nucleotides. Lineage: Eukaryota; Fungi; Basidiomycota; Agaricomycetes; Agaricales; Omphalotaceae. The record is from the annotation of a GenBank genome assembly.
ACUCAAAUGGUCAAGUGGUCAAGAUGCCUUGAAAUUAUAAACUCGGCAAAGGGUUUCGAUAUUUCAAGAGGCGGAGGUUCGAUUCCUCCUUUGAGUA